UACAGGGGGGGCAAGCGUUGUUCGGAAUUACUGGGCGUAAAGGGCUCGUAGGCGGCCAACUAAGUCACCCGUGAAAUCCCCAGGCUUAACCUGGGAACUGCGUGUGAUACUGGAUGGCUUGAAUUCGGGAGAGGGAUGCAGAAUUCCAGGUGUAGCGGUGAAAUGCGUAGAUAUCUGGAGGAAUACCGGUGGCGAAGGCGGCAUCCUGGACCGACAUUGACGCUGAUGAGCGAAAGCUAGGGGAGCAAACAGG
This 253-nucleotide ribosomal RNA is filed under the name uncultured bacterium. RNAcentral's name for it is "partial 16S ribosomal RNA". It matches the Rfam family "Bacterial small subunit ribosomal RNA", at positions 524 to 776 of the family's 1533-position model. The record is from RNAcentral.